This 47-nucleotide non-coding RNA is filed under the name unclassified sequences. The record is from Rfam.
UGGGUUGGUCGGAAGAUCUAGGCCCACCGUAGGCGGGGAGAAUUCCC